UCCAACUUCAGCCAUGAGUUUUCGCGUCCAACUUUGAUCGUCCGUCUUAUUUGAAAAUUUUUUUAUAAUUAGCAUUUUUGUUGUUAUGAGAUGAUAAAACAUGAAUAGUACUUUACUCCUGGCUUAUGUUUUCAAUUUUUUUAAAAAAAUUUUUAAAUAAGACGAACUGUUAAAGUUGAGCGCGAAAAACCAUGGCUACACUUAUU
Molecule: microRNA precursor, 206 nt
Organism: Oryza sativa Indica Group (long-grained rice)
Lineage: Eukaryota; Viridiplantae; Streptophyta; Magnoliopsida; Poales; Poaceae
Rfam family: MIR812 microRNA precursor family
Source: Rfam